This 497-nucleotide ribosomal RNA is filed under the name uncultured bacterium. RNAcentral describes it as "partial 16S ribosomal RNA". It matches the Rfam family "Bacterial small subunit ribosomal RNA", at positions 28 to 507 of the family's 1533-position model. The record is from RNAcentral.
GAUGAACGCUGGCGGCGUGCCUAAUACAUGCAAGUCGAGCGAACAGACGAGGAGCUUGCUCCUCUGAUGUUAGCGGCGGACGGGUGAGUAACACGUGGAUAACCUACCUAUAAGACUGGGAUAACUUCGGGAAACCGGAGCUAAUACCGGAUAACAUGUUGAACCGCAUGGUUCAACAGUGAAAGACGGUCUUGCUGUCACUUAUAGAUGGAUCCGCGCCGCAUUAGCUAGUUGGUAAGGUAACGGCUUACCAAGACAACGAUGCGUAGCCGACCUGAGAGGGUGAUCGGCCACACUGGAACUGAGACACGGUCCAGACUCCUACGGGAGGCAGCAGUAGGGAAUCUUCCGCAAUGGGCGAAAGCCUGACGGAGCAACGCCGCGUGAGUGAAGAAGGUCUUCGGAUCGUAAAACUCUGUUAUUAGGGAAGAACAAAUGUGUAAGUAACUAUGCACGUCUUGACGGUACCUAAUCAGAAAGCCACGGCUAACUACGUG